This is an RNA transcript of Glycine soja, 2335 nucleotides long. It is a transcript of the gene named pentatricopeptide repeat-containing protein At1g08070, chloroplastic-like, with no coding region annotated. The record is from RefSeq and is a predicted model, not a curated record. Lineage: Eukaryota; Viridiplantae; Streptophyta; Magnoliopsida; Fabales; Fabaceae. The transcript is spliced from 2 exons.
AUGGCAGACAUUGCCUUCGUUGAUGCUUCUCGCCGUGGCGUCAUGGCGCUGAUUUUAAAAGUUAAAAAGUGGAAUUGUCACUUUAUUAUCGGUGGCGAGCAGCAAUUAGCAACAAAAGAAAACGAUGGCGGUGUCGUGUCUUUCCACUUUCAUCUGAAUCUCCUAGCGAAAUGCCCCGACAUCCCCAUCCUGAAACAAAUCCACUCCCUCAUCAUCAACACCCUCUUCGCCCAGAGCAAGCUCAUCGAAUUCUGCGCCCAUUCUUCCUCGGACCUCUCCUACGUCCUCUCUCUCUUCCACUCCAUCCAACACCAACACCCACACCCCCAACAUCUUCAUCUGGAACACCCUCAUUCGCGCCCACUCCGGCCUCUACCCCAAUUCCCCCACCUUCCCUUCCCUCUUCAAGUCCUGCGCCAAAUCCAAAGCCGCCCAUGAAGCCAAACAGCUUCACGCACAUGCCCUCAAGCUCGCCCUUCACUGUCAUCCACACGUCCACACUUUGAUCGUUCACAUGUAUUCCCAAGUUGGGGAGUUACGGGAUGCGUGCUUGAUGUUUGAUAAAAUUACUCUGAGAGUCGCCGUGUCUUUCACUGCUAUUAUUACUGGGUAUGUCUCCGAGGGCCACGCGGAUGACGCUCGACGCCUUUUCGACGAAAUUCCCGCCAAGGAUGUGGUUUCAUGGAUGCCAUGAUUGCUGGGUAUGUCCAAAGUGGUCGCUUUGAGGAAGCCCUGGCUUGCUUUACACGCAUGCGGGAGGCUGACGUGUCGCCGAAUCAGAGCACGAUGCUGAGUGUUCUUUCCGCUUGUGGCCAUUUGGGGUCGCUUGAGAUGGGGAAAUGGAUCUUUUCUUGGGUUAGAGAUCGCGGGCUUGGUAAGAAUCUUCAGCUUGUUAAUGCACUCGUUGAUUUGUAUUCCAAGUGUGGUGAAAUUGACACCACGCGUGAGUUGUUUGAUGGGAUUGAGGAAAAAGAUAUGAUUUUGUAGAAUACUAUGAUUGGUGGUUAUUGCUACUUGAGUUUGUACGAGGAAGCCUUGGUGCUGUUUGAGCUCAUGAUUAGAGAAAAAAACGUAAAGCCCAAUGAUGUAACGUUCUUGGGCGUUCUUCCGGCUUGUGCUUCCCUUGGUGCUCUUGACCUUGGCAAGUGGGUUCAUGCUUAUAUAGAUAAAAACUUGAAAGGCACGGAUAAUGUGAAUAAUGUUUCUCUUUGGACUAGUAUCAUCGACAUGUAUGCAAAGUGUGGCUGUGUUGAGGUCGCGGAACAAGUGUUUAGAAGCAUUGGUUCUUAAAGUUUGGCUUCUUGGAAUGCCAUGAUAUCAGAGCUAGCUAUGAAUGGACAUGCAGAGAGGGCUCUUGGCCUUUUCAAAGAAAUGAUCAAUGAGGGGUUCCAGCCCGACGAUAUCACGUUUGUUGGAGUAUUGUCUGCUUGUACUCAAGCUGGUUUGGUGGAUCUUGGACACAGAUAUUUCAGUUCAAUGAACAAGGAUUACGGGAUAUCACCAAAAUUGCAACACUAUGGUUGCAUGAUAGAUCUUCUGGCUAGAAGUGGAAAGUUUGAUGAAGCAAAGGUUUUGAUGGGAAAUAUGGAAAUGGAGCCGGAUGGAGCUAUUUGGGGUUCUCUGCUUAAUGCUCGUAGGGUUCAUGGACAGGUUGAAUUCGGUGAAUAUGUUGCAGAACGUCUCUUUGAAUUGGAGCCAGAAAAUUCCGGGGCUUUCGUGCUUUUGUCAAACAUAUAUGCAGGAGCUGGCAGAUGGGAUGAUGUAGCAAGGAUAAGAACUAAGUUAAAUGACAAAGGAAUGAAGAAAGUUCCUGGUUGCACCUCUAUAUAGAUUGAUGGUAUUGUGCAUGAGUUCCUUGUUGGUGAUAAGUUCCACCCGCAGAGUGAAAAUAUUUUUAGAUUGCUGGAUGAGGUAGAUAGGCUUUUGGAGGAGACUGGGUUUGUGCCUGAUACUUCUGAGGUACUCUAUGAUAUGGAUGAGGAGUGGAAGGAAGGGGCUUUGAAUCAACACAGCGAGAAGUUGGCUAUUGCUUUCGGUUUGAUAAGCACAAAGCCGGGGACUACAAUUAGGAUCGUGAAGAAUCUUCGUGUUUGUCCAAAUUGCCAUUCGGCUACUAAGUUAAUAUCCAAGAUCUUCAAUAGGGAAAUAAUUGCAAGAGAUAGAAACCGUUUUCACCAUUUCAAAGACGGGUUUUGCUCAUGCAAUGACUGCUGGUGAAACUUUAUGUAUAUGUUCAAUGGUAUAUAACACAUGCACUUCUGUAGAAAGAAAGGUGAAUAACUUGCAUUCAUGUAAUUAACUGAUAGAUUGGUAUAUAUAUGUGGUCUCUCACUUU